AUCAAACUUUUCUUUUCCUCUCUUCUCCAGUCCAGCAGCGACAACCACCAUUCACCGCCUCUAUCAUCGAUUCAUGAAGAACAACCCUACCAUCACAAGAACAACAGAUAAUAUGAAAUUGGAUCUGUUAUUAUAUGAAGAGAGAAAGAAGGUAUGGUUAUGUUGAUGGGAGUAAAAGAUAAAGAGUUUCCAGAGAUAGUAUGAUAUGGUGGAUCUGUUAAGGGGAAUCGUGAUCAAUUAACUAGUUCUGAUUUUUUGAGGAUGGAAGCUUGAAGGUUGCAAUGGAAUUAGGGCACUUAAUUUGACUUAUUCAGUGUUUUUCUUUCCAAAGUUUGUUGGAUAAAACUUUGUUUCUCCAUUUUAAUGGUUCAUUUGUUGAAUGUGUUUGGAAACCACUUGAAUGUAAUGUAAGAAAACUACUUCAUUUUAAUGGUUCUACUGUUUGUACU
This is a long non-coding RNA of Papaver somniferum (opium poppy), 449 nucleotides long. RefSeq lists it as uncharacterized. NCBI's taxonomy places the organism in Eukaryota, Viridiplantae, Streptophyta, Magnoliopsida, Ranunculales, Papaveraceae. The transcript has 2 exons. The record is from RefSeq and is a predicted model, not a curated record.